Molecule: ribosomal RNA, 253 nt
Filed under: uncultured bacterium
Lineage: Bacteria
Description: partial 16S ribosomal RNA
Rfam family: Bacterial small subunit ribosomal RNA
Source: RNAcentral
UACGUAGGGAGCAAGCGUUGUCCGGAAUCAUUGGGCGUAAAGCGCGCGUAGGCGGCCCCGUAAGUCCGCUGUGAAAGUCAAAGGCUCAACCUUUGAAAGCCGGUGGAUACUGUGGGGCUAGAGUCCGGAAGAGGCGAGUGGAAUUCCUAGUGUAGAGGUGAAAUUCGUAGAUAUUAGGAAGAACACCAGUGGCGAAGGCGGCUCACUGGCCCGGUACUGACGCUGAGGCGCGAAAGCGUGGGGAGCAAACAGG